GACGAACGCUGGCGGCGUGCUUAACACAUGCCAGUCGAACGGAAAGGCCCUGCUUUUGUGGGGUGCUCGAGUGGCGAACGGGUGAGUAACACGUGAGUAACCUGCCCUUGACUUUGGGAUAACUUCAGGAAACUGGGGCUAAUACCGGAUAGGAGCUCCUGCUGCAUGGUGGGGGUUGGAAAGUUUCGGCGGUUGGGGAUGGACUCGCGGCUUAUCAGCUUGUUGGUGGGGUAGUGGCUUACCAAGGCUUUGACGGGUAGCCGGCCUGAGAGGGUGACCGGCCACAUUGGGACUGAGAUACGGCCCAGACUCCUACGGGAGGCAGCAGUGGGGAAUAUUGCACAAUGGGCGGAAGCCCGAUGCAGCAACGCCGCGUGCGGGAUGACGGCCUUCGGGUUGUAAACCGCUUUCGCCUGUGACGAAGCGUGAGUGACGGUAAUGGGUAAAGAAGCACCGGCUAACUACGUG
This 468-nucleotide ribosomal RNA is filed under the name uncultured bacterium. RNAcentral describes it as "partial 16S ribosomal RNA". It matches the Rfam family "Bacterial small subunit ribosomal RNA", at positions 28 to 507 of the family's 1533-position model. The record is from RNAcentral.